GCAAGUCGAACGAGAACGGGCCUACCUUGCUAGGCUGUCAGCUAAGUGGUGGACGGGUGGGUAAUGUAUAGUUAAUUUGCCCCUUAGAGAGGGAUAACAGUUGGAAACGACUGCUAAUACCUCAUACUCCUUUAUACUUAAUGCAUAGUGGGAAAUGUUUUUUCGCUAAGGGAUAAGACUACAUGGUAUCAGGUAGUUGGUGGGGUAAGAGCCUACCAAGGCAAUGACGCCUAGCUGGUCUGAGAGGAUGAUC
Molecule: ribosomal RNA, 253 nt
Filed under: uncultured bacterium
Lineage: Bacteria
Description: partial 16S ribosomal RNA
Rfam family: Bacterial small subunit ribosomal RNA
Source: RNAcentral